AUUGAACGCUGGCGGCAGGCCUAACACAUGCAAGUCGAGCGGUAACAGGAAAUAGCUUGCUAUUUUGCUGACGAGCGGCGACGGGUGAGUAACGCGUAGGAAUUUGCCCAGUAGUGGGGGAUAGCCCGGAGAAAUUCGGAUUAAUACCGCAUACGCCCUAAGGGGGAAAGCAGGGGAUCUUCGGACCUUGCGCUAUUGGAUAAGCCUGCGUGAGAGUUAGCUAGUUGGUGAGGUAAGGGCUCACCAAGGCGACGAUCUCUAGCUGGUCUGAGAGGAUGAUCAGCCACACUGGAACUGAGACACGGUCCAGACUCCUACGGGAGGCAGCAGUGGGGAAUAUUGCACAAUGGGCGAAAGCCUGAUGCAGCCAUGCCGCGUGUGUGAAGAAGGCUCUAGGGUUGUAAAGCACUUUCAGUAGGGAGGAAAAGUCGAUAGUUAAUACCUAUCGGCCGUGACGUUACCUACAGAAGAAGCACCGGCUAACUCCGUG
This 490-nucleotide ribosomal RNA is filed under the name uncultured bacterium. Its description in RNAcentral is "bacterial SSU rRNA". It matches the Rfam family "Bacterial small subunit ribosomal RNA", at positions 30 to 507 of the family's 1533-position model. The record is from RNAcentral.